RNAcentral lists this unclassified non-coding RNA (1705 nucleotides) under Hevea brasiliensis (rubber tree). The record is from RNAcentral. Lineage: Eukaryota; Viridiplantae; Streptophyta; Magnoliopsida; Malpighiales; Euphorbiaceae.
GAGGAUGAAAGUGUUGAGGACUUUGAUGGGAAAUCUAGUGAAGUUCUUUAGAUUAUGACUAUGAAUUUUGAAUGCUAAAAACUUUGAAUGUUUGAUAAUUUCUUAAGGGUUUAAAUUUUUUUAUAGAGAAUUGUAUUUUAUUAUUAGUUAAUUUUUUAAUGAUUUUGUGCUUCCUUUUACGAAGCAAGUGCUUUUCUUGCGCUUUGCGCUUUAAGCGAUGGGGUUAAAGUCAUUUUUGUGGAAUUUUGGUUUCUUAAGGAUUAAGUUUAGAAUUUUGGUUGUUUUAGCUACAUCAUAUAGCUAGCGAAAUGAGGAUAGCACCAGCCUAUUAUGUGGAAGGGGGUAAAUGUGACUGUGUUGCUGGCUGUUGUGUAAAAUUCAUUUUUACUUGUGGAGGUACUGAAACUUAUUACUAGGUCAAGAGAAUUUAGCUAUGGUUGUUAAAACUUAAAAAUCACAUCUUGCCUGACUUCUCUAAAAUUUUGGAACGAUUGUACUGAUGUUGAGACAAACGAAAAAUGCUUUUUACCAUGUCAUACUGACUCCGCAUCCAAAUUAUUGAUUCAUGGUUGCUAAUUGUGUUAUGCUGUAUUGGUUUCAUAGUUUUCUUGUUAGAUGCAAAGCUCUAGAUUCGACAAUAAUUACACGUUUCUAUGCUAAUUGAACGCAGGCUUAUCCAAAUCAUUGUUUAAUUAGAAGCUACUUAUAACGUUAUACAUGUAUAGGUUUAUUCCUAGCAUGCGAAGAAGCGUGGCUAAAUUUUUAUUGUUUCUUUUGUAGAGCUAAUGCACAACAGCCAAAGCUUUUUGUUGGCAUGAUUCUCAUUUUAAUCUUUGCUGAGGCACUGGCUUUGUAUGGACUCAUUGUUGGCAUCAUCCUUUCUUCCCGAGCUGGCCAAUCCAGAGCUGACUAGAAUAACUGGUUGUUGGCAUCACUGGUUACUCUUACAUUGCUGCUGCUAGUAAAGAGCGUGCAGGUGUUUUAUCAAGUAAUUUGUCAUGCAUGUGAUUUCUUUCAAAUAUAUAUUAGUUGACCCUUCAAAUAAAGCUUCUCAUGCUUCUUAACAUUUUUGUUGUAUUCUUCAGAUAUUAGUUCAAUCUUGGAAAGCUAGUGUGCACAUUAUUUGGUUAUCCAUUCCAAACUUGUGUCCUUUUGUUUUAUGAUCAUCUGCUAGUGCGCUAUUUUGGAUUUCAAUAUUAUUCUGGCUUCAUACAAGCACAUUGUCAUCUCAUUGAUAAGAAAUGCAAACAGUCCCAAAUGUAUAAGUACUGUGAGUUGAAUAAUGAUUUGACUGUUGCUCGAUAAUAAUUAUCUUGGAAGUUUCUUCCUAGAUAGAUGCCCCUUUUAUUACUAAGAAAUAUUUGCUGCUUGCGGAUAUUCUUUUUCUCUCAUUAUGUUCUGUAGUUUUCCAUUUUGCCUUGCGUUAUUUGGGACCUGUUUGAAUUUCCGAGGAGCGAAUGAUGCCAGAAGAUGUAGAAUUGCAUAUGAUUUGGUUACACAAUGCUAGAAAUUGACAGCACAUGAACUCCAGUUCUGAGUAUGGUUAUUUUUGUUUUACUGUACAAAGCAAUAUGUUACCGUUAUCAAUAUGAUGUCUUGUGGAGCUAUUUUCUGGCCAUUAAUCCACGGAUGUUCAUUGUUUAACGAAAAUGAUAGAUCAUAUGUAUUGAUGCAAAAGUUGAACUGUUCAAUACCACUUUUCAUG